This 460-nucleotide ribosomal RNA is filed under the name uncultured bacterium. RNAcentral's name for it is "partial 16S ribosomal RNA". It matches the Rfam family "Bacterial small subunit ribosomal RNA", at positions 338 to 795 of the family's 1533-position model. The record is from RNAcentral.
CCUACGGGAGGCUGCAGUGAGGAAUAUUGGUCAAUGGGCGCUAGCCUGAACCAGCCAAGUAGCGUGAAGGAUGACUGCCCUAUGGGUUGUAAACUUCUUUUAUAUGGGAAUAAAGUGCAGUAUGUAUACUGCUUUGCAUGUACCUUAUGAAUAAGGAUCGGCUAACUCCGUGCCAGCAGCCGCGGUAAUACGGAGGAUCCGAGCGUUAUCCGGAUUUAUUGGGUUUAAAGGGAGCGUAGGCGGGUUGUUAAGUCAGUUGUGAAAGUUUGCGGCUCAACCGUAAAAUUGCAGUUGAUACUGGCAGCCUUGAGUACAGUAGAGGUAGGCGGAAUUCGUGGUGUAGCGGUGAAAUGCUUAGAUAUCACGAAGAACUCCGAUUGCGAAGGCAGCCUGCUGGACUGUCACUGACGCUGAUGCUCGAAAGUGUGGGUAUCAAACAGGAUUAGAUACCCGAGUAGUC